This is a non-coding RNA of Pantherophis guttatus, 345 nucleotides long. RefSeq annotates it as small Cajal body-specific RNA 2. The record is from RefSeq and is a predicted model, not a curated record. NCBI's taxonomy places the organism in Eukaryota, Metazoa, Chordata, Lepidosauria, Squamata, Colubridae.
GUGAGUGGGAGCGAGCGUGGGUUGGAGGAUAUGCUUGAACCGCGUGUGUCUAAUGUGAGGCUUCGUGAGGUGUGUGUGUGUGUGUGUGUGUGUGGCCCUGUUCGGCAACAAUUACAUUCCUUUUUACACGUUGAUCUUAUUUGAUCGGGCCGAGAUGUCGCCGCUUUCUCGGCCUGAAAUGAAAAAGACCCGCUUCUGUGAAGCCCUUGGCGCUGUACAGAGCAGCUUCGGUUUAAUGAGCGUGCGGCAGUAUUGUCGGAGAUGAUGAAUUGAUCAGAUAGAUGAGGCUGGAGGUUGGAAAGUUCCUCUUCCUAGCCAAUGCGUAUCGAAGCGAUUCUGAUCCGG